GGGUAUGGGGGCAACUGGCUCCAAUAUCUAUCACCCCACUGAUCACCAGGGUUGACUCUACUGAUCUGGUUGGCUAGGCAAGUGUCCCCUCCUCCCUCACUCUAUGUGCAUCCCUCUCAAAGCUGUAGGUUCAGUCAAAGAGGACAACCUUCCCCAAUAGAGCAGGGCUGUUCUUCAGUCAAGGGUAUACAAGUAGCUGUGCUUCCCUACUAGAACCUCCAAACAAGUUUUCAAGGUCCAUUUGUAGGAGAAUGUUUAGCAGUCAAGCUUUCAAGACUCUAGACUACAUCCAAAUGAGACCCUGCAAAUGACAGUGUGCCUUUCUUU
This is an unclassified non-coding RNA of Vulpes vulpes (red fox), 327 nucleotides long. Its record names the gene 7SK. It matches the Rfam family "7SK RNA". Rfam says of the family: 7SK was discovered as an abundant small nuclear RNA in the mid-70s but a possible function has only recently been suggested. Two independent studies have found that 7SK RNA binds the CDK9/cyclin T complex (known as elongation factor P-TEFb). The record is from Ensembl. Lineage: Eukaryota; Metazoa; Chordata; Mammalia; Carnivora; Canidae.